AAUCACAAGAAUUGUCUCUGACACGAUUUGAUAAGGAAAAAAGGGAAAGAAAGCGCGUGAUAAGGGACCGAAGGAUGAAGAGGAAAGGAUCGGCGCGAGGAACCCCCCCUGUGGAUAUUCCAGUCUAACCAAACAAGUAUCGCCUCUGUCAGCCGGUAUCUUGGACCGUAGAUCAGAUCGCGAUCGAUAGUUACGCCAAUGGGGUGAAACGAGGCAGCGAGGAGAAAGAGAGAGAGAAAGAGAGGAGAGCGGCGGCCGAUGGCGCGGCAGGUACCUAGUUUGAUCCUGCACACAGAAGGCUAAGGAAGAGGAAGAGGGAAAAAUUAAAGAGCCGAUACGAGGUCGUUAGAGAUACAAUCUCCGGAAUUGCCGAUCAAAAAGCUUGAAAUCAGAUCCCACGGUUGUGAUUAUGGCAUCAUGAGCGGUAAUGGGAUCGUAUCAACCUGAAAUUUUAUUACUUUCAAUGUCUGCCGCGUCAGCAGUCCCACAUAUCCGAAUUUGCCAUUCAUUCCCAUCUCUUCUGCACAUUUUCAAAAUGCAUUCCCUCCCUCUCUGGAAUUCUAC
Frieseomelitta varia is the source of this 564-nucleotide long non-coding RNA. RefSeq lists it as uncharacterized. The record is from RefSeq and is a predicted model, not a curated record. The transcript is spliced from 3 exons. Lineage: Eukaryota; Metazoa; Arthropoda; Insecta; Hymenoptera; Apidae.